UACGUAGGGGGCAAGCGUUGUCCGGAAUUAUUGGGCGUAAAGCGCGCGCAGGUGGUUUCUUAAGUCUGGUGGGGAAGCCCACGGCUCAACCGUGGAGGGUCAUUGGAAACUGGGGAACUUGAGUGCAGAAGAGGAAAGUGGAAUUCCAAGUGUAGCGGUGAAAUGCGUAGAGAUUUGGAGGAACACCAGUGGCGAAGGCGACUUUCUGGUCUGUAACUGACACUGAGGCGCGAAAGCGUGGGGAGCGAACAGG
RNAcentral lists this ribosomal RNA (253 nucleotides) under uncultured bacterium. RNAcentral describes it as "partial 16S ribosomal RNA". It matches the Rfam family "Bacterial small subunit ribosomal RNA", at positions 524 to 776 of the family's 1533-position model. The record is from RNAcentral.